AAAAAUUAAUCUUAUUUUGCCAUAAAUAUGGAAUCCAUAUACAACCGGUGUAUAAAACCAAAGUGGUUAUAACAUCUCCGCACCUUGUGGUUUCCAUUCCUACGACAUCACCGUACCCAUGUCACCCGACCAAUACCUUCAAAUAACCGAGUCCGAAACUAUUUAAAAAAAUGGGGAGGGGCCUGUCUUCCCCACUUAAUUACCCAAAACCAAAUAAAGAGAAAAAAAAAGUCCCACUGAAUUACCCAAAACCAAAUAAAGAGAAAAAUAAGAUCCCACUGAAUUACCCAAAACCAAAUAAAGAGAA
This 307-nucleotide long non-coding RNA is filed under the name Amborella trichopoda. Its description in RNAcentral is "long non-coding RNA (ATRI_LNC002823)". The record is from RNAcentral. Lineage: Eukaryota; Viridiplantae; Streptophyta; Magnoliopsida; Amborellales; Amborellaceae.